CCUACGGGGGGCUGCAGUGGGGAAUAUUGGACAAUGGGGGGAACCCUGAUCCAGCCAUGCCGCGUGUGUGAAGAAGGCCCUCGGGUUGUAAAGCACUUUCAGUGAGGAAGAACGCCUGGUGGUUAAUACCCAUCAGGAAAGACAUCACUCACAGAAGAAGCACCGGCUAACUCCGUGCCAGCAGCCGCGGUAAUACGGAGGGUGCGAGCGUUAAUCGGAAUUACUGGGCGUAAAGCGCGCGUAGGUGGCUUGAUAAGCCGGCUGUGAAAGCCCCGGGCUCAACCUGGGAACGGCAUCCGGAACUGUCAAGCUAGAGUGCAGGAGAGGAAGGUAGAAUUCCCGGUGUAGCGGUGAAAUGCGUAGAGAUCGGGAGGAAUACCAGUGGCGAAGGCGGCCUUCUGGACUGACACUGACACUGAGGUGCGAAAGCGUGGGUAGCAAACAGGAUUAGAUACCCGGGUAGUC
RNAcentral lists this ribosomal RNA (465 nucleotides) under Vreelandella stevensii. Its description in RNAcentral is "partial 16S ribosomal RNA". It matches the Rfam family "Bacterial small subunit ribosomal RNA", at positions 338 to 795 of the family's 1533-position model. Lineage: Bacteria; Pseudomonadati; Pseudomonadota; Gammaproteobacteria; Oceanospirillales; Halomonadaceae. The record is from RNAcentral.